RNAcentral lists this ribosomal RNA (350 nucleotides) under uncultured rumen bacterium. Its description in RNAcentral is "partial 16S ribosomal RNA". The record is from RNAcentral.
UAUUCCCCACUGCUGCCUCCCGUAGGAGUCUGGUCCGUGUCUCAGUACCAGUGUGGGGGACCUUCCUCUCAGAACCCCUACGCAUCGUCGCCUUGGUGGGCCGUCGCCCCGCCAACUAGCUAAUGCGCCGCAUGCCCAUCCCGUACCGCCGGAGCUUUCCCCCCGGGAGGAUGCCCUCUCGGGGACUACGGGGUAUUAGACCAAAUUUCUCUGGAUUAUCCCCCUGUACGGGGCAGGUUGCAUACGUGUUACUCACCAGUGCGCCGGUCGCCAUCGGGCAUAUUGCUAUGCCCAUGCUGCCCCUCGACUUGCAUGUGUUAAGCCUGCCGCCAGCGUUCAUCCUGAGCCAA